AUCAGGGGUAAACCUGUGGAACUCGAACGAACGAACGGGGAGAUUCACCGUAUUUCCGUAGCGGGUCCGCGGCGCGACGCGCCGCCCCGUCGUGACGGUCGCGUUUGCGCGCGCAUCGUCGCGCGGGCGCGGCACGCGUCGCGUCGUCGCACGGCCCGCGGAGUGCGUGCACUUCUCCCUUAGUAAAACACCGCGACCCGUUCGCACGAGUGUGCGUGUGCGAUCUAACGCGUCGUGCGGUUGUCCCGUUUCGAACGUAAAAAAUUCGGGACGGAGCCGCGACGUAUCGCGAUCGCCGUCGGACGGUAAAGCACGAGGUUCGCGUUCGCCGCGUAUUGUGGUGGUGCGGCGUGCGGUCUCUCUCGGGGGAUCGCUCGUCGCCGCGCAGGCGUCCGUGACGCGUACCGAACGGACYGCGUUCGGACCCCGACGUUUCGUGCGUCGCGGGCUCCGGGCGUUCGCGUACGGCGCGCGUGCGCUUAGGUGCGCGCGCGUCGCGCGCGUCACGCGUCCGUUCGUUGUGUAUGGCGCGUCGUCUCGGACGGAACGCGUCCCGGUCCGCGGUGGUUUUGUUUCGGGCACUCACAGGACCC
This 593-nucleotide ribosomal RNA is filed under the name Oestropsyche n. sp. XZ-2007. RNAcentral's name for it is "partial 28S ribosomal RNA". The record is from RNAcentral. Lineage: Eukaryota; Metazoa; Arthropoda; Insecta; Trichoptera; Hydropsychidae.